CACACAGAAUGAGCCAGAUCGCCAUGCUGGGCAGAGCAGGAGAAGAGGUGACCCUCACGGCGCCUCCCAGGCAGUCGGCUUCAGCUCAAUCAUGAAUUACGACAAGGACAGCACAGGUGUCGUGUCUGCGCGAUGCACAGGCCGGACGCAACCAGAUUCUACUUUUUCCUGUAUCUACGACCCAUUUACUGCCUCACCCAGAAUGAAGAUAACCUCCUGAGAAGUGAAAGCCUUCGACACGUCAUCCUCAUCAUCGAGAGGACCCACUUUUGUUAAGGGGAUGGAAUGGAUGAGCUACAGAAAAAAGUUCUCCAGGUUAAAGCACUUACUCAGUGGAGGCCCCAUCAUCGCCUGAAACACUUCACCUCAUUCAAAGAAGAGAUAGCCCACAUCUACCUGCAAGUUUUACAUGAUGGGACUUUAAGGUAAUGGGUUCUGCCUCAGGUAACACAGGUAGAAAUAGAAUCGCAGGAGAGGAUUCUCGAAUGCUGACCACAAGGCGUGGGGGUGAACUGCCUGGGUCGGGGGGGGGGGGCGGCGAAGGGCUGGGAUAGAACAGGUGGGAUGCUGUCCAGCUAGAGGUCCCUCGGAGGACAGCUGGUCCAGCAGCGGCACGUCGCAAGCAAAGCCCACGCAUCAUUUGUUGCUCUAGAGUAACAUAAAAUACAAGAUACAGCAUCUGCUCUAGUAGGGUGGUGAGGGAGGGAGGGGGCACCAACGGGGGCGGGGGGGAGGAUGCACUGACGAGUACCAGCUAUUGUCACUAUGAAGAACCAAUAGAAGGUGGAUUGCAAAUAGAUCCCCACUGGGAGUCAUGUAAAAUUCAAGGAAAUCUGCUUUGGCACCGUCUUGCGACAGCAUACGUAUGCAGCAGCAGAUGAGUAAA
Molecule: long non-coding RNA, 886 nt
Filed under: Canis lupus familiaris (dog)
Lineage: Eukaryota; Metazoa; Chordata; Mammalia; Carnivora; Canidae
Description: lncRNA (ENSCAFG00030012992.1)
Source: RNAcentral